Molecule: ribosomal RNA, 253 nt
Filed under: uncultured bacterium
Lineage: Bacteria
Description: partial 16S ribosomal RNA
Rfam family: Bacterial small subunit ribosomal RNA
Source: RNAcentral
UACGUAGGGUGCAAGCGUUGUCCGGAAUUAUUGGGCGUAAAGAGCUCGUAGGCGGUUUGUUGCGUCGGCUGUGAAAUCCCGAGGCUCAACCUCGGGUCUGCAGUCGAUACGAGCAAACUAGAGUGUUGCAGGGGAGACUGGAAUUCCUGGUGUAGCGGUGAAAUGCGCAGAUAUCAGGAGGAACACCGGUGGCGAAGGCGGCCAUCUGGACCGGAACUGACGCUGAGGCGCGAAAGCCAGGGGAGCGAAUGGG